CCUACGGGAGGCAGCAGUGGGGAAUAUUGCUCAAUGGGCGAAAGCCUGACGCAGCGACGCCGCGUGAGGGAUGAAGGUCUUCGGAUCGUAAACCUCUUUCAGCAGGGAAGAACGGUCACUGUGCUAAUCAGCAGUGAAUUGACGGUACCUGCAAAGGAAGCACCGGCUAACUCCGUGCCAGCAGCCGCGGUAAUACGGAGGGGGCGAGCGUUAAUCGGAAUUACUGGGCGUAAAGCGCUCGUAGGCGGUAUGUCAAGUCAAGGGUGAAAUCCCCGCGCUCAACGUGGGAACUGCCUUUGAUACUGGCAAACUUGAGUGUGUGAGAGGAUAGUGGAAUUCCAGGUGUAGGGGUGAAAUGCGUAGAUAUCUGGAAGAACAUCAGUGGCGAAGGCGACUAUCUGGCACAUCACUGACGCUGAGGAGCGUAAGCGUGGGUAGCAAACAGGAUUAGAUACCCCAGUAGUC
Molecule: ribosomal RNA, 465 nt
Filed under: uncultured bacterium
Lineage: Bacteria
Description: partial 16S ribosomal RNA
Rfam family: Bacterial small subunit ribosomal RNA
Source: RNAcentral